AUUGCCUCAGUAACGGCGAGUGAAGCGGCAAGAGCUCAAAUUUGAAAGCUGGCUCCUUUGGGGUCCGCAUUGUAAUUUGCAGAGGAUGCUUUGGGUGCGGCCCCUGUCUAAGUGCCCUGGAACGGGCCGUCAGAGAGGGUGAGAAUCCCGUCUGGGAUGGGGUGUCCGCGCCCGUGUGAAGCUCCUUCGACGAGUCGAGUUGUUUGGGAAUGCAGCUCUAAAUGGGUGGUAAAUUUCAUCUAAAGCUAAAUACUGGCCGGAGACCGAUAGCGCACAAGUAGAGUGAUCGAAAGAUGAAAAGCACUUUGAAAAGAGAGUUAAAAAGCACGUGAAAUUGUUGAAAGGGAAGCGCUUGCGACCAGACUCGCCUCCAGGGUUCAGCCGGCAUUCGUGCCGGUGUACUUCCCUGGGGGCGGGCCAGCGUCGGUUUGGGCGGCCGGUCAAAGGCUCCCGGAAUGUAGUGCCCUCCGGGGCACCUUAUAGCCGGGAGUGCAAUGCGGCCAGCCUGGACCGAGGAACGCGCUUCGGCACGGACGCUGGCAUAAUGGUCGUAAACGACCCGUCUUGAAACACGGACCAAGGAGUCUAACAUCUACGCGAGUGUUCGGGUGUCAAACCCGUACGCGCAGUGAAAGCGAACGGAGGUGGGAGCCCCCUCGUGGGGCGCACCAUCGACCGAUCCUGAUGUCUUCGGAUGGAUUUGAGUAAGAGCGUAAAUGUGGGGACCCGAAAGAUGGUGAACUAUGCCUGAAUAGGGCGAAGCCAGAGGAAACUCUGGUGGAGGCUCGCAGCGGUUCUGACGUGCAAAUCGAUCGUCAAAUUUGGGUAUAGGGGCGAAAGACUAAUC
This 847-nucleotide ribosomal RNA is filed under the name Aspergillus flavus. Its description in RNAcentral is "partial large subunit ribosomal RNA". It matches the Rfam family "Eukaryotic large subunit ribosomal RNA", at positions 74 to 936 of the family's 3401-position model. The record is from RNAcentral. Lineage: Eukaryota; Fungi; Ascomycota; Eurotiomycetes; Eurotiales; Aspergillaceae.